GCGCUCGUAGCUCAGUGGAUAGAGCAGGUCCCUACUAAGUUCCCGGUCGCAGGUUCGAAUCCUGUCGAGCGCUCCA
RNAcentral lists this transfer RNA (76 nucleotides) under Rhizobium sp. BK491. RNAcentral describes it as "tRNA-Ser". It matches the Rfam family "tRNA". From Rfam's summary of the family: Transfer RNA (tRNA) molecules are approximately 80 nucleotides in length. Their secondary structure includes four short double-helical elements and three loops (D, anti-codon, and T loops). Lineage: Bacteria; Pseudomonadati; Pseudomonadota; Alphaproteobacteria; Hyphomicrobiales; Rhizobiaceae. The record is from RNAcentral.